CAGUCGCCGCGGUAAAACGUAGGUGGCAAGCGUUGUCCGGAAUUAUUGGGCGUAAAGGGCUCGCAGGCGGUUUCUUAAGUCUGAUGUGAAAGCCCCCGGCUCAACCGGGGAGGGUCAUUGGAAACUGGGAAACUUGAGUGCAGAAGAGGAGAGUGGAAUUCCACGUGUAGCGGUGAAAUGCGUAGAGAUGUGGAGGAACACCAGUGGCGAAGGCGACUCUCUGGUCUGUAACUGACGCUGAGGAGCGAAAGCGUGGGGAGCGAACAGGAUUAGAUACCCCAGUAGUCCCUGUCUCUUAUAC
RNAcentral lists this ribosomal RNA (301 nucleotides) under uncultured bacterium. Its description in RNAcentral is "partial 16S ribosomal RNA". It matches the Rfam family "Bacterial small subunit ribosomal RNA", at positions 509 to 807 of the family's 1533-position model. The record is from RNAcentral.